This 204-nucleotide long non-coding RNA is filed under the name Panax ginseng (ginseng). RNAcentral describes it as "long non-coding RNA (PGIN_LNC015056)". Lineage: Eukaryota; Viridiplantae; Streptophyta; Magnoliopsida; Apiales; Araliaceae. The record is from RNAcentral.
AUAAUGCCAACGCUAAUCCCGUGCAGCAGUUGGUUAACUUACUGACUGGAGCCAUGAAUAAUCAACCGCAAGCUCCACCAAACACAACGUUUAAAGACUUCAAGGCGGUGGGACCGCCAGAGUUCAAAGGUUCCAUGAACCCAAUCGAGGCUCAAACGUGGGUUAUGGAAAUGGAGAAGGUUUUCGACGUUGCUAGGGUUAGAG